Molecule: ribosomal RNA, 1137 nt
Filed under: uncultured Microbacterium sp.
Lineage: Bacteria; Bacillati; Actinomycetota; Actinomycetes; Micrococcales; Microbacteriaceae
Description: bacterial SSU rRNA
Rfam family: Bacterial small subunit ribosomal RNA
Source: RNAcentral
ACCUGCCCCUGACUCUGGGAUAAGCGCUGGAAACGGCGUCUAAUACUGGAUAUGUGACGUGAUCGCAUGGUCUGCGUCUGGAAAGAAUUUCGGUUGGGGAUGGGCUCGCGGCCUAUCAGCUUGUUGGUGAGGUAAUGGCUCACCAAGGCGUCGACGGGUAGCCGGCCUGAGAGGGUGACCGGCCACACUGGGACUGAGACACGGCCCANACUCCUACGGGAGGCAGCAGUGGGGAAUAUUGCACAAUGGGCGCAAGCCUGAUGCAGCAACGCCGCGUGAGGGAUGACGGCCUUCGGGUUGUAAACCUCUUUUAGCAGGGAAGAAGCGAAAGUGACGGUACCUGCAGAAAAAGCGCCGGCUAACUACGUGCCAGCAGCCGCGGUAAUACGUAGGGCGCAAGCGUUAUCCGGAAUUAUUGGGCGUAAAGAGCUCGUAGGCGGUUUGUCGCGUCUGCUGUGAAAUCCGGAGGCUCAACCUCCGGCCUGCAGUGGGUACGGGCAGACUAGAGUGCGGUAGGGGAGAUUGGAAUUCCUGGUGUAGCGGUGGAAUGCGCAGAUAUCAGGAGGAACACCGAUGGCGAAGGCAGAUCUCUGGGCCGUAACUGACGCUGAGGAGCGAAAGGGUGGGGAGCAAACAGGCUUAGAUACCGUGGUAGUCCACCCCGUAAACGUUGGGAACUAGUUGUGGGGUCCAUUCCACGGAUUCCGUGACGCAGCUAACGCAUUAAGUUCCCCGCCUGGGGAGUACGGCCGCAAGGCUAAAACUCAAAGGAAUUGACGGGGACCCGCACAAGCGGCGGAGCAUGCGGAUUAAUUCGAUGCAACGCGAAGAACCUUACCAAGGCUUGACAUAUACGAGAACGGGCCAGAAAUGGUCAACUCUUUGGACACUCGUAAACAGGUGGUGCAUGGUUGUCGUCAGCUCGUGUCGUGAGAUGUUGGGUUAAGUCCCGCAACGAGCGCAACCCUCGUUCUAUGUUGCCAGCACGUAAUGGUGGGAACUCAUGGGAUACUGCCGGGGUCAACUCGGAGGAAGGUGGGGAUGACGUCAAAUCAUCAUGCCCCUUAUGUCUUGGGCUUCACGCAUGCUACAAUGGCCGGUACAAAGGGCUGCAAUACCGCGAGGUGGAGCGAAUCC